UUUCCCAUUAUAGCUAACGGUCAUUAUCUUUAAAUCAGUACAUAAUUAGGACUCUAUUACUUGUGUAAAUAUCUUGUAAAUCCUACAGUUUAUUAUUCAAUAAACAAACCACAAUUCUUUUAUCUCUAAUUCUUUUGGAUCUCUAUCAUUAUUCAACUUGGUAUCAAGAGCCUUGUUUUUUUUCCAGAUCCUCAUGAUUAAGUUUUUUUCCAGUAAAUAUGUUUCGUUCAUCUUUGCUUCAGAUUCUCAAUCCAUAUCCAUCAUUCCUAUAGUCAUCUCUGAAUUCGUUCCUUGACUGACCCCUUUGAUUUCUAUUUUCCUUUUUGAAUUAGGAUUGAUUCACGAGAUACCUUGUCAACAAAAUUUUAUGGACAUAACUAUCUGAUUUGGAUGUUCCAUUUCUAAGCCUUAAUUAGAGGCAAAGGCCUCCUUGAUAAUUUGGAUGUCUCACAGGUUGUACCCACAGAAGACAGAGAAAAAGAGGCUUGGAAGGCUGACAAUGGCAAAAUUAUUGCAUGGCUUGUCAAUUCCGUCUCUGUUGAUAUAGCCAUGGAACAUACAUAUUUUGUGAAAGCAUCAUAAAUGUGGAGUCAUCUACAUACCCUCGGUAACCAACAAAAUCUGGCUCGAGAAUUUGAAUACUUGCAGAAUCUAUACAAGGAUUUCAUGACUACUAUGAAAAGGACAACGACAGUCAAUUUCUAAAGAAACUGAGGCCCGAGUUUGAGCAUCUGCAUGCUAGUAUUCUUAACAAGGAAAAACUACCAGCUUUGGAGGUGGUAGUUUACUUAAGUUCUUCAAAAGAAACUCGGUUGAGUUCUCAAGCUUCCAUGGAGAAUUCCCUCACCAUGGACACUGCCUUGGUUGCAUACAGAAGUUCUUCCUCAGGCAACUCUAAUAAAUUAGGUCAAUGAUAUCAUUGCAAGGAACAUGGCACAUUAUUUCCAAGAAGCAAUAUUAUUGCAACUAUUCUAAGAAAGAUGUUCAUAUUAUUCUGCAAUGUCGUAAGAAAUCUGGUCCAGGAAAACGCUCAACUCCUCAUAAAUCUUCCAAGCAAUGACAAGGGAUAUUGAAACACGAGAAACACCAAGCACAAAAGUGCUUGAUCGCAAAUGAUAUCUAGAAAAUGAUACAAGAAUCAUUAGUGGCUGCUCUUCCUAAUGCAAUCUCUACAGCUCUGACUGUCAUGUAUCCUGGAUAUGGCCAUGUUUUAACAGCAUUACCUAUUGGCUCCAUCAAUCCAUUUUCAGAGGUUCUUUGUGUACCAAAGCUUACUGCAAGUCUUUUAUCUGUUGGGCAACUUGUAGAACAAUUUUUUUUGGUUAUUUUUUAUCCUAAUGGUUGUGUUAUUCAGAACAUAUUGACAAGGAAAACGAUGGCCAGGGGAAGUAAGGUGGGCAGCCUUAUUCUUCUUCAAUCUCAGGAUACCAAACUCCAUUAUUAGUGUUUUCUUUCAGCUUCAAAUAAAGAUAUCCAAUUUUCAAAUAAAAUGUGAAAUGUGGCAUCUCUGUUUAGGCCAUCCACACGUUUCUCGGUUAAAUUUUAUGCUCAAAUCUUCUAAUAUGUUGGCAAACAUUCACUGAUUUCCCCCUCUAAAUUACCUUGUAAGUGUUGUGCAAAAUCAAAGUCAUAAAAUUCCUUUUCAAUUAAGCAGUACAAAUUAUUCUUCUCCCUUUGAUUUAAUUCAUAGCGAUGUUUGGGGACCUUCUCCAACUAUAUCUCGUUUGGGAUACAAGUAUUUCAUUCGAUUCAUUGAUCAAGUAUCUCGUUUUAUAGGAAUUUUCUUCUUGAAACACAGGUCUGAGGUACCAAAUACUGUCAAAAAUUUUUAUAACCUUAUUGAAACCCAAUUUGAGAAAAGAUCAAGAUUUUUCGUUCAGAUU
Solanum lycopersicum (tomato) is the source of this 1883-nucleotide non-coding RNA. The record is from RefSeq and is a predicted model, not a curated record. NCBI's taxonomy places the organism in Eukaryota, Viridiplantae, Streptophyta, Magnoliopsida, Solanales, Solanaceae.